GAUGAACGCUGGCGGCGUGCCUAAUACAUGCAAGUCGAGCGAACGGACGAGAAGCUUGCUUUUCUGAUGUUAGCGGCGGACGGGUGAGUAACACGUGGAUAACCUACCUAUAAGACUGGGAUAACUUCGGGAAACCGGAGCUAAUACCGGAUAAUAUUUUGAACCGCAUGGUUCAAAAGUGAAAGACGGUCUUGCUGUCACUUAUAGAUGGAUCCGCGCUGCAUUAGCUAGUUGGUAAGGUAACGGCUUACCAAGGCAACGAUGCAUAGCCGACCUGAGAGGGUGAUCGGCCACACUGGAACUGAGACACGGUCCAGACUCCUACGGGAGGCAGCAGUAGGGAAUCUUCCGCAAUGGGCGAAAGCCUGACGGAGCAACGCCGCGUGAGUGAUGAAGGUCUUCGGAUCGUAAAACUCUGUUAUUAGGGAAGAACAUAUGUGUAAGUAACUGUGCACAUCUUGACGGUACCUAAUCAGAAAGCACGGCUAACUACGUG
RNAcentral lists this ribosomal RNA (496 nucleotides) under uncultured bacterium. Its description in RNAcentral is "partial 16S ribosomal RNA". It matches the Rfam family "Bacterial small subunit ribosomal RNA", at positions 28 to 507 of the family's 1533-position model. The record is from RNAcentral.